Papaver somniferum (opium poppy) is the source of this 370-nucleotide long non-coding RNA. RefSeq lists it as uncharacterized. The transcript is spliced from 5 exons. Lineage: Eukaryota; Viridiplantae; Streptophyta; Magnoliopsida; Ranunculales; Papaveraceae. The record is from RefSeq and is a predicted model, not a curated record.
GUGGCAGUUCAACUCCAUGCUAACCGAUCGUGUGAAGCUGUUGGACAAAUACUUAAUUAAAUGGGAUGUCGCAACUAGAAGACGAACAGCUUGUAAUGAUCUCCCUGCAGGUUAGUUGUUCAACAAACUAAGAACAAGAAAGCAAGUGAAGGUUUUUGGGUUUGUCCGCAAGGAGCUGUCCAGUACUGACAACUAAUUAAUCAGAGCACAAGGCUCCUAAAUGCGCAGAUGAUAUACGCGGGUUGGUCUGUAAUGAUAUUAGGGGGCGCCAAGAGAACAUUCCGAUUCCAGCAACCAAUAUGGUCGAUGACCCAUCUGUUGCUCCUACAGGUAAUAUCAAAUGCGCAUCCAUCUUUGCGUUCAGUGGCGG